This 2584-nucleotide long non-coding RNA is filed under the name Homo sapiens (human). RNAcentral's name for it is "non-protein coding lnc-ANXA2R-1:17". Lineage: Eukaryota; Metazoa; Chordata; Mammalia; Primates; Hominidae. The record is from RNAcentral.
CGAUCUCGGCUCACUGCAAGCUCCGCCUCCCGGAUUCACGCCAUUCUCCUGCCUCAGCCUCCCGAGGAGCUGGGACUACAGGGACCCGCCACCACGCCCGGCUAAUUUUUUUGUAUUUUUAGUAGAGACGGGGUUUCACCGUGUUAGCCAGGAUGGUCUCGAUCUCCUGACCUCCUGAUCCGCCCGCCUCGGCCUCCCAAAGUGCUGGGAUUACAGGCGUGAGCCACCGCGCCCGGCCGGUACUCCGAAGCCCUCAGAUCGGCGACCUGGGCGCUGUAGGCACCGAGAAAAUACAGGCACCGAGCCAGAAGCAGUGCCGCAACCAAGAGACCUCGGCUUGGCGAAAUGGCGGCGUCUGGAGCCUGCGAGUGACGCCAGCUGGUGGGGCUGUCAAGGAGAACAUUCGUUACGGCGCAACCAACGGUACUGUCACCAAGAAACCGUCGUCUCUGAGAAAAAAAGAGACGUUCGGCCGCCGAGAAACUCCGUACAAGUGCUGUGACAGAAAAACCGCCGGCUCCGCGCAGCGGCAAAAGAGCCAACGGGAACGCCGGGUGCUGCGACCAUGACCCCGGCACUGGAGGACGUGGGAUGGAGAAUGGGACACACGGAGCGAGAAGGGAAACGUUUCGUGCAGACCAACUAGCGCCGCCGCCACCGGAAAACUGACUCGCCAGUGCUGCCAAUGAAGUGCGUGUGAGAAACCGAUGACUGGUGGGAGGAGCAGCGCUGGGCGCUGGACCCGCGAGUGUGAGAAUCUGGCGGCGCUAGGACCCUUCAGGCGCGGGCACGAGGCGAAACCCAGCGCUGUUGCCAAAGACAAAUGCGCGUUCUUUUGGGCGCCAUCAGCGGUGCAGCCAGUGAUCACUCCCAGGCUCUGAGAAACUAGAGAUGUCAGCCACAAACCCUCCGUUCAGGGAAAGUUUGCGGCGCCGUGACGGAUCGACUGGCACUGGGUGCAACAUUGUCUUGUGGCCUAGAGACUAGAAUAUAAAAACAAAAACCAAAUACAAAACUGCUGCUGGCAUUACUCCUACUCUCCCCCCUCAAGUCAGUGGCUUCAGGCUUAAGAAAACCUGUAUUUUUCUUGGCUGUGCCAUAAUCCGUAAUUACCGAGGCCCCCAGCGACCCACCCAGUGUGAUUCGCAGAGGGAAAGGAGCUGGAAUAAGGACCGUGAAUGGGGCGGAUGUGGCUCGUCCUGGGAGAGAGCUAAAGCUUAUGCUGGUCGCAAACAGCAUUACAUUGCAGGAAACUGCUCUUCCAAUGGCCGUGGCUGGGUCCUUCCACACCAUCCCUCUGCCCUAGACCUUUGUCCCCGUUCAGAGCCAUCAGAGAUUCUAGGAGAGCUGUCGACAACCGCAUCUCUUCGGAACUUGGAAACUCUAGGUUCAAGAUCUCCGUGGAGAAUGAAAGGCACAGUCGCCUGACCCGGGCAUCAGGCUUGCCCCGCACAUCAAGUCCCUCCCCUACUGGAUGGAACUCUGUGGCAAUCGCUCCUUAUUCUGAUGGUUCACUCUGUCAGAUAUCCUCGAUAUUUGGGGAUAGUAGUUCAAAAACAGCCGGGGAGGAAAAUGGGCUGAAAGAUUCCAGCGUUGGAUGUAGAAUUGACAGCGAGACAUACACCUCCUCUCUAAGCCCAGAGAAAAGCUCAAGUUGUGGUUCUCUGUCUCUAGCAGCAUGAUCUUCAAAAUGCAUCAUUGAUUUCUAUCUUCUGGGAAAUGCAAUGCAGGUGAACUUCUUUUCAUCUUAGCAAAAAAGUUGCAAUCAGCACCCCCUAGACGGAAGGAAUAUCCUGUCUUAAUGGGAGUCCAUAGGAGGCUGCAGGCUGCUCCCCUACAGAGACUAACAUCAAGGAGGAAAUCAGUGGUGCUUCAGGAUAUUGUGAAUUUGGUCUUCUGAAAGCAGAAUUCUGAUUUAACAGUAUAAUGGAAUUCGUGAACGUCAUGAUGCUAAUUUGAACCAACAAGCACCCUUGUGAGAGGAAUCUGCUUUUCCUCAAGUCUGAAGAACACCAGGAGAAUCUUUCUGUAUGGAGUUACCAGGAAUCCUCUGCUAAGGAAAGUGAAAGGGAAGAUGCAAUUUCUCCUGGGAAGGGGGGAUGCUGAUGUAGAGGGUGACAAGUAAUAUGCCAUGAAGGAUUCAGUCACCUGGUUAGAUUUAGAGUUAGAGUUAUGGUUAAGGAAGAAGGAAGGAAAAAAGGCAGAAGAGGAAGAAAGGAAGCAAGAAAAGAUAAAAUUUAUUCUAAGAUAAAAUUUGUGAAUUUUGCUAAACUAUAUAUAUUUAUUUAUUUAUUUAUUUUAUUUAUUUAUUUAUUUUUGCUGUCAUUAGCCAAGAUAAGGAAUCUUCAAGUUGAGUAAGACUGGAUUUAGAAUUGUCUGGGGGCUUUCAAAAGAGCCAUUCAGUAAAUAAGAAAGAAUACAGGCCUGCAGCACCAGAGUCUGAGCUGGGGGCAUAGGUUUGUGUGAAUUUGGGCAUGGUGGCUCAGGUCUGUAAUCCCAGCACUUUGGGAGGCUGAAGUUGAGGACUGCUUGAGCUCAGGAGUCUGAGACCACCCUGGGCAACAUGGGGAGACCCCAUCUCUAC